GUAUUUGUUGGAUGAACGUCAAAUUUAUGAAGACUGUUUGACUUUUGAUUCAGGUCUCUUUUCACUUUCUCACGUCAGAGGAUGACACUGGAAGAUCUGCAUUCUUAAAAGUGAUGAUAAACUAUACAAUGUUUUAAGAUAUAGCAACAGCAGGAAUGUGUGAGAGUUCAGCAAAUGACAGUGUUUAAAUGUGUGACUCUAUAAAAGCUGUGGCAAGAUCCACCUGCAAAUCUACAGUAUACUGUGAAAAGUUUUAGACACUUCUGAAAAAUGCUGUAAAGUUAAAAUCAAUACCACAACAUUUCUUUUUAAACAAUUAACCCAUUAAGUGGUUAUUCUUGCUUAUCAAAUGUGCUUUAUUGUUUUAAACACUUUGAUGCAUCGUACUAUGGUGGUUAAGCAGCGAGUUUCAUUGUUGUUCGAGAAAGAUGACACACUAUCCCCUUCCAAUAAACUGGUGUUUUACAAACAAGAAUUUAUACUUCUGUGUAACUGGCAAUGACUUGACAUUUCCAUAUAUUUCAUUAGCUGUCAUAAGGUGGAUUCUGCUCCUCCCAUCUCAACAAAACUCUGUGUUUCCUCAUCAGCUGCGCAGUCUUUCAAACUUCUGUCAGGAGUAAACACUUCACUUUAACACAGAGAAGAUGAGAAAGAAAGAGACAGGUCUCUUUGAAGCUAAUCUGUUUGGAUUGUGACAAAGGCAAAAAAUGAAUUACAUUAAAACCGUCAGUAAAUGAGUCUCACAGCGACUAAACAAUCUGUCAAGAUCAAAAUAAGAGAGAGGAACUAUGAGGCAGAUCUUUAGAAAGAAAAUGAAGCUUCAACUGCAUACUCAAGUCAGAAUGAAGACGUCACUGAAAUAUCUACAUUCCUGACACACUGAAAGUGAGGAUAACAUGUAUUGAGAUAAAGGAAUGUGUAAGGGUUCAGAAAAUGUUAAAUAUGUGACUAUAAGAAGUGUGGCAACAUGCAUGGAGAAAUUACAGUAUACUGUGAAAUGUUUUAGACACUUGCACUGGUUCAUGCAUGUAUUUAAUUAUUUGUUUAUUUUUACAAAUUAACCUCUGUUAACCACAUCAAAUCAGCUGAUCACCUUUUUUUAAACAGCGUUUGUUAUAGUUUUUCUUAUUUUGUGAAAAUA
Labeo rohita (rohu) is the source of this 1141-nucleotide long non-coding RNA. RefSeq lists it as uncharacterized. The record is from RefSeq and is a predicted model, not a curated record. Lineage: Eukaryota; Metazoa; Chordata; Actinopteri; Cypriniformes; Cyprinidae. The transcript has 3 exons.